AGAGUUAGCUAGACAACCGCUGCUUUACUAUUAUUAAUAACAAUUAUACUUAGUAAUAAAGGAGAGGAAAGUCCGGGCUCCAUAGGGUAAGGUGCCAGAUAACAUCUGGGAGGUGUAAGCCUACGUUAAUGCAACAGAAAAUAAACCGCUAAUAUUAUAAAAGUAUAUGUAAGGGUGAAAAGGUGCGGUAAGAGCGCACCGCACAACUGGUAACAGUUUGUGGCAAGGUAAAUGCCACCUGGAGCAAGGCCAAAUAGGAGUUCAUAUAAUGUGGCCCGCAUAGAACUCGGGUAGGCUGCUUGAGUCAAUACGUAAUUAUUGAUCUAGAUGAAUGGUUGUCCACGACAGAACCCGGCUUAUAGGCUAACUCUAAAA
Molecule: RNase P RNA, 375 nt
Filed under: Candidatus Arsenophonus lipoptenae
Lineage: Bacteria; Pseudomonadati; Pseudomonadota; Gammaproteobacteria; Enterobacterales; Morganellaceae
Description: Arsenophonus symbiont of Lipoptena fortisetosa Bacterial RNase P class A
Rfam family: Bacterial RNase P class A
About the family: Ribonuclease P (RNase P) is a ubiquitous endoribonuclease, found in archaea, bacteria and eukarya as well as chloroplasts and mitochondria. Its best characterised activity is the generation of mature 5'-ends of tRNAs by cleaving the 5'-leader elements of precursor-tRNAs.
Source: Rfam by way of RNAcentral